CUUUCCUUGACGACGACUGGCGCACGGGUGAGUAACGCGUAUCCAACCUUCCCAUGACCACGGGAUAACCCGUUGAAAGACGGCCUAAUACCGUAUGACGUCGUUUGCCGACAUCGAAAGACGACCAAAGGUUUGGCGGUGAUGGAUGGGGAUGCGUCUGAUUAGCUUGUUGGCGGGGUAACGGCCCACCAAGGCGACGAUCAGUAGGGGUUCUGAGAGGAAGGUCCCCCACAUUGGAACUGAGACACGGUCCAAACUCCUACGGGAGGCAGCAGCG
RNAcentral lists this ribosomal RNA (277 nucleotides) under uncultured Prevotella sp. RNAcentral's name for it is "partial 16S ribosomal RNA". It matches the Rfam family "Bacterial small subunit ribosomal RNA", at positions 79 to 356 of the family's 1533-position model. The record is from RNAcentral. Lineage: Bacteria; Pseudomonadati; Bacteroidota; Bacteroidia; Bacteroidales; Prevotellaceae.